Molecule: ribosomal RNA, 253 nt
Filed under: uncultured bacterium
Lineage: Bacteria
Description: partial 16S ribosomal RNA
Rfam family: Bacterial small subunit ribosomal RNA
Source: RNAcentral
UACGAAGGGGGCUAGCGUUGCUCGGAAUCACUGGGCGUAAAGCGCACGUAGGCGGACUCUUAAGUCGGUGGUAAAAUCCUGGAGCUCAACUCCAGAACUGCCUUCGAUACUGAGAGUCUCGAGUCCGGGAGAGGUGAGUGGAACUGCGAGUGUAGAGGUGAAAUUCGUAGAUAUUCGCAAGAACACCAGUGGCGAAGGCGGCUCACUGGCCCGGUACUGACGCUGAGGUGCGAAAGCGUGGGGAGCAAACAGG